Molecule: long non-coding RNA, 12489 nt
Organism: Panthera uncia (snow leopard)
Lineage: Eukaryota; Metazoa; Chordata; Mammalia; Carnivora; Felidae
Exons: 11
Source: RefSeq, a predicted model, not a curated record
AGACCCCUUUAAAGCGAGGGAGUCCGCCACCAUCCUGGGCCUUUGGCGGAGGCUCGAAGGCGGGCACGGAAAGCUUUUCAGCGACAAGCAGGAGAGGCCUCGGGUGCGCCUUGGAUGCACUUUGGCGAGUGUGGAAGUUGGAGACGGGCUAACUAAGCGGGUCAUCCUGUCUGGGAUGGCUUAGGGAGUAUAUUUGGCUUUCUCCGGUUGGCCCGAAGUGGGCCAGGGACAAAAAAAUAGGUAAGCUGACAGUUAGUGACCAAGUCCUGAAUGUGGGGGCCUGUAGCCGGAGAGGUUGUGGGUCUGUUCUGUUAGGUGUGGUCUGCCCGUCGUUGUGUUUGCAGCCUCACUGCGUCGUGGGGCGCAGUGUGAGACCUUCCACCUGCUGACCUGCCACAGGAACCUUCCCAGGCCGGCCUGCUGGCGGGAGCCACUCUGGCUCUGCCUGAACGUCGUAAGCUCCUGAUUGUUCCCUCGUGUCUGGGGUGCUCUUGUGACCAGCCUUCCUCGCUUGGACUCUUCUGGGCCUGACCUCGUUGGUUGCUUUACCCAACAACAAUCAGCUUCUUAACUUGCGUAUUUCAUACUUGUUAACAUGACCCUGCAAUUUGUAGAUUCUUCCAGGAAGUCUGGAAUCUGACUUCCAAAGGGAGAGUCUUGAUGGAGUGGGCUCGUGCCUCUUGCUGUGUCACUGAAUUAGACAAAAGCCCUUUGGCCGAGGAGAAACGACAGGUCUGCUGGGGGCUUCUGGGGAAGUUCCCCCCUCAGUAAUUGACAUAGACCAUAGGGUGUCUCCUUUUAUUGUCUUUGAACAGCAUUGUCUGCACAUAAUGUGUAGAACCGUACUGCCGUGCCAGCAUCUUGAAGAGGCCAGCCCAAGGGGCAAAGUCGCCAUGCUGAGAAUGGCAGAGCAGAAAGAUGGAAAGAACCAGAGUCACCGAAUCAACUAAUACUGCCUGUGGCCAUCUUGGGACUUUUCCUUAUGAUACCAUAAACGACCUUGUUUAUUUUUAUUAUGGAAAACUUCAAACAUACAAGAGUAAGCCAGAGCAAGAGAACGUGUAUACAUGCCAGAGAGGGACAGAGAGAGAGAGGGAGAGAGAAUCCCAAGCAGGAGCCGCACUACCAGCACAGAGCCCAACUCGGGGCUUGAACCCAUGAACCGCGAGAUCAGGACCUGAGCCGAGGUCGAGAGUUGGACCCUCAACUGACUGCGCCACUGAGGCACCCUGUAUCACUUUAUGUGGCACUUUAUUUACUUCCAGUUAUUCUUUAACAUUUUGGUUUAGAGCAUCUCAAAUUAGAAAGGAUUAUGCUGAGAAGGCCAUGUCUCUUCAACCGGCUCAGCUUGAGGGCUAUGAGGUACCGUCACGAGACCUGGGGAGACUACGGAAAGAAGUGAAGUAGCAAAGAGAGGAACACCGAGCUUGGCAGUCAGGGAUGGGGCAAGAACAGGGAGCACUCUCCCAGCUCUCUGACUCCUCAUAUGCCUUCAAGGUGGGCGGUGAUGAUAAAACGAUGUGAUCGGCCAUUAAAUUAUGAAGAGUGUUGGUCCUGAUCGGUCGGCCUUGCCUCUCAUUGCAAUGAACUUUGUUGUGACUGUCACUGGUGUCCAUAGCAUUCAGUUUCAGGAGUCGUGUGGAUGCAACAUUUGGUGCAUUGGCCGGGAAAGUUAAAGGUCUGAAACAGGGCCCAUUCCCCGGAUUGCUCUGCCGACCCCUGGGAGGAAGCUCGGGAUUGGGAGAGGUAAGGAAUUCUUGGGGCGCGCCAUUUGAAUGACUCAGGAGGGUCUGCCUGACGCAGCUAUAGAACCAGAGUCAGGGAUCCUACCAGGACGCCGGUGGACCCCAUUAGGUUUGGUGUUUGUCAAGAAGGAUCCUAUUUUCAGGUGGCUGCGAUGGCCUACUGGCCUUGAGAUCUCGAACUUGUGUUUUCUUCGUGUCUUAAUUGUCUUCUUCCUGUUGACUGGCUGUGCGUCCUUGUCAGUUUUGCCUAUCUUUGUCAUCGUCCUUGUCAGUUUUGCCUAUCUUUGUCAUCGGUCAGAAUCAGACUACCCCCACCCCGCUGAGUCUCAUACUAACCCAUUUCCAGGAGUAUAGGAGAGCUGCCUCAGUUUUCGGCCUCCACGUUAAGAAGCCAGUCCUUCGAACUCUCUGCGAGGUGGAAUGUAACAGCUUUCAGGUCGAAUGGCCUCCACAGGGGACCUUUAACCUUACUUUGGUAUAUAAAGUUCGUGAUAUUGUCUUUUCUAGGCACGAAGACCAAAUCCCAUACACUGGGGCAUGGAGAACCCUCAUCGAAAACCCUCCAGAUAGGUUAAAACUUCUUCCCCUUCCCCCUCGCCUCCCUAAAGUACAGGCUUUGCCACUCAAAGGUCGCCCAUCUGGAGCUCAGAAUAAGAAUCUUGAUGAGACUAAGCGGCCGCCCCCUCUAUCACCUGCACAGGAGGGGGGUAAAAAAAAAGGAACUUACCACCCACCGCCCUAUAGUUCUCGCCCAAAGAAUACAGGUCAAGAUGCUUCAGAUCUGGAGACGAGCCCGAGUCGGGACACUCCCCUGAGCCCGUCUCACACCCGGUCAGGGACUCCCUUCCAUCCGCCUCCCGCUGCCCUAUCCCUUCUUCCAGGGCCACCCCUGCACCCCUGCAGGGUGAUGUCCGACCCUUUAUGACUUAUGUACCCUUCUCCACUAGCGACCUUUAUAACGGGAAGCUUCAAAACCCCUCGUUCUCAGAGAAACCCCAAGCAUUAAUUUCUCUUCUUGAAACUCUAUUUGUGACCCAACAGCCAACCUGGGAUGACUGCCAGCAGCUCUUGCAGGUUCUCUUCACCACUGAGGAGCGGGAUAAGAUCCGUCGCGAGGCCCGGAAAUUAGUGAUGGGGCCAAACGGGCAACCCACCAAGGAUCCCGCUGGAUUCAAGGAAGUUUUUCCUUCCUCGCAUCCUGAAAAUUGGGACCCAAACACUCCUCACGGUAGGCGAUCAUUGACCCUAUUUCACCAGACUCUACUGGGAGGUCUCUGAGCGGCCACCCGCCGGCCCACAAACAUGUCUAAGGUAACAGAAGUAAUUCAGGGGACCGAGGAAAGCCCCUCAGCCUUCUUAGAAAGGCUCACGUAGGUGUACCGCACCUUUACCCCUGUAGACCCUGAGGCACCUAAAAAUAGAAGAGCAUUAAAUUUGGCCUUUGUCUUACAGGCAGCCCCAGACUUGUAAAUGGACAUUCAUCCCACUGUACCCAACCCUUAUACUCUCCUUAGUUUGCUUCCCCCUUCUCAGGUGUAUUAUACAGUUCUGGACUUAAAAGAUGCCUUCUUUGCCAUCCCGCUGGCCCCACAAAGCCAGCCACUAUUUGUAUUUGAAUGGACUGAUCCUGAAAAGGGACAGCUCACCUGGACGCAACUCCCCCAAAGAUUUAAAAAUUCUCCUCUUUUUAAUGACGCCCUGCACCAGGAUUUAGAGCCAUUUCGAAUCUCCAACCCGCAGGUAGCCCUAUUGCAAUAUGUUGAGGAUAUCUUGUUGGCGGCCCCCUCUCAUUUAGAAUGCCUGAGUGCCACCAGAGAACCCUUGAGUCUUUUGCAAAAACUGGGGUACCGAGUGUCAGCCAGAAAAGCGCAGAUCUGUCGUACUGCGGUGACCUAUUUAAGUUACAACCUUAAAAAGGUAAGUGCUAUCUCGGUGAACAAAGAAUUCGGGCUAUACUCGAUAUUCCUCAGCCUAAAACUCGCAAACAAGUUCGCGAGUUCUGGGGGCAGCAGGCUACUGCAGAGUAUGGAUACCUGUCUUUGCUGAACUGGCAGCCCCUUUGUACGCCACUCUCAAGGGGUCUCCAGAGUCCUUCACGUGGGGGGAGACUCAAACUAAAGCCUUCCAAGCCUUACGAGAGGCUCUCGUGACCCCACCGGCCUCGGCCCUGCCAGAUCCCACCAAGCCAUUCCGUUUGUUUGUAGCCGAAAAGGGGGGGGGGGGGUAGCCGAGGGAGUUCUGACUCGGAGCCUGGGACCUUGGCGCCGACCGGUGGCCUAUUUAUCCAAACGGCUGGACCCAGUUGCUUCCGGGUGGCCCCCACGCGUUCGACAAAUUGCCGCCACCGCGCUCUUAGUUGAAGACGCAGACAAACUAACUUUGAGGCAGGCACUGUCUGUCACCGGGCCCCACGAAGUGGAGGCUUUACUGCGGGCUCCCCCAGAGCGACGGCUGUCAAAUGCUCGGAUUACCCAAUAUCAAGCGUUGCUACUCGACCAGACCUGAAUACGUUUUUGUGCCCCCACAGCCUUAAACCCAGCCACUCUGCUGCCCGAAGGACAAGGUCCCCCUCUGCACUCCUGCCCAGAAACCUUGGCGACGAUCUCGUCCCUCCGCUCCGAUCUUAUGGACGUUCCUUUACAGGACCCUGAUAUCAGCAUGUUUUCAGGCGGCAGUAGUUUUGUGUUUCAAGGGCCAAGGCACGCCGGGCGCUGCAGUGACGACAGACCGCGAGGUUUUAUGGCAACAGACCCUUCCCCCGGGAACUUCAGCCCAGCACGCAGAGCUCAUCACGCUAACAAAAGUCCUCAAACUCGGAAGAAACAAGCCAGUUCAUAUUUAUACGGACAGCCGCUAUGCUUUUUGCAACCGCGCAUGUACACGGAUCCAUUUACCAAGAGUGCGGUCUCCUCACGGCGGAAGGCAAGGCCAUCAAAACUGAAGCUGAAAUUUUAGAUCUUCUAGCAGCCAUCUGGGAACCUGCGAGGCUGGCAAUCAUUCACUGCCCGGGACGUCAGAAAGGCGACUCCCUAGAAGCAGUCGGAAACCGCCUGGCUGAUGCAGCAGCCCGAGAAGCUGCCCCAACUAAAAGUAAAAGUGCCUUGGAGCUACCGAUCUUGACCGAGGGAGCCCAGUUACACUCCUAAAGAUUUGGAGUGGGUUUCAAGAAAAGGGGGAAGUGUGACGCCGGGACAAAAGUGGUCUCAGGAUCCUGAAGACCUCCACCUAUCCUGCUGAGGCUAGGAGGCGACGUAAUGGAACAGUUGGAACAGGACCGCUUGCUGGUUUCACUCGUGGCCCUGCAACAUGUACGAAAGGAAAUAACCAGGGCCUUAAAAGAAGCCUUCGCUCAUCCUCCUGUUCUUCCCCACCCCUUUCAACCAGGAGAUUUAGUCUGGGUCAAGAGGCACGAGCUUAAAACCCUGGAGCCGCUCUGGAAAGGACCACACGCCGUGAUCCUGACUACGCCCACGGCCGUGAAGGUAGAUGGUGUCCGAACCUGGAUUCAUCACUCUCAGGUUAAAAAAAAAACAACCUGUGUGAAGGCAGGAACACCCGAGACUGAUACAGAACCAGAUAAUGAACAGCAAUGGAAGGUCCGAAGGCACUCAGAGGAUCCUUUAAAGAUAUCCAGGUUACAUCCUCCACCAGGGCCACUGCCUCCUGACAGUCCUCUGGGUGCUGUGACUGCACCCACCUCUGGAGCUUCCUGGGCAGCGCACCCAGGAACUGUUCCAGCACCAGCAGCUCCAGCAUCUGCUCCUUGGAGUGCGCCUCGGGCUGCAGCCACUGGCGGCACAGCUCACGCAACCGGGCCAGGGCCUCUCGGGGCCCCGCCACCUCCUCGAAGCAGAACCCCCGGAACCUCUGGCGUGCAGCCUCAGGGUCAGCUGGAUGCUUGCCUAGCUGUUGAGUGGGCUCCCCAAGUACUUCUGGGCUUAGGCCCUCGUCUUCAGCAUAGAGGGCCCGAAUCUGGGCAUUUCGGGGACGAGCUACCUCUUGGUUCAGUGUGAGGACUUCAACGACUUCGAUCUUCAUCAGGGGAUUCCCAGCAGGAAGAGGAUCCACUUGAGGGUCCAACUGAGCCGCAGGACACUCUGUAAGUCAAAAGCACAGCCAGAGAGAUGGCCAACAAGCACAUGAAAAGAUAGUCAACAUUAUUUGCCACCAAGGAAAUGUAAAUCAAAACCACUGUGAGGGGCACCUGGCUGACUCAGUCAGAAGAGCGUGUGACUCUUGAUCUUGGGGUCAUGAGUUUGAGCCCCUUGUUGGGUGUAGAGAUCACCUAAAUAAACAAAAACUUAAAAAAAUAAAUCGUGAGAUACUACUUCAUACUUACUAGGAUAGCUAUUAUCAAAGAUGGGUGGUAACAACUAUUGGCGAGGAUGUGGAAAAACUGCUGUUGGUGGGAACACAGAACGCUGCAUCAUUUUGCAAAACAGUCUGGCAGGUGCUCAAAAAGCCAAACACAGAAUUAUAACCCAGGAAUUCUCCUAGGUAUACAUCCAAGAGAAAUGAAAAUAUAUGUCAAUACAAAAACUUGUACAGGAACUUUCACAGCAGCAUUCUUAACAGCCAAAAAGAAAAACAAAUGUCAAUCAAAGGAAGAAUAAACAAAAUAUGGUCUAUCCACAAAUUGGAAUAUUAUUUGGCCAUAGAAAGGAAUGAAGUAGUGAUACGUGCUAAGCCUUGACAACAUUAUGCUGAAUGGAAGCAGCCAGACACCAAAGGCUAAUUUUAAGAUUCCAUUUAUACGAAAUGUCCAAAAUAGACGAAUAUACUGAGACAAAGUAGAUUCGUGGUUUCCAAGAGAUAAGGAAUUCAGGCAAUUAGGGGGUGUUGGCUAAUAAAAAUGAAGCUUUUUCAGGGAGAUGAUAAAGACUUUCUGAAAUUAGACUGUAGUGAUAGCUACACAACCUUGUGAAUUAUAGUAAAAACCACUGAACUGUACACUCUCAAAGGGUGAACUUUAAGGUAUGUAAAUUACACCUCAAUAUGGGAGGUGGGUGGGAAAGCAAGAGGCAAGGAGGCUUAAGAAGAAACCUGUGAUGCUCUAUAGGCCCACAGCUAUGUACAGGGAGUAGAACCUGAUCCUGCCUCCAUGGGAGCCAAGAAGACAGGAAAGUCUGAAGCCCUGUGUCUUGGCACAGAACUCACAAGAACACAACUCCAGCACGUCCCUGAAAUGCUAAGGAGGGCACACAAACCAAAGGAAAUAAGAAAGCACUGUACAACUCUAAGGAGAAAUGCUAACUCUAAAUGACUUGAAAGCUUUAAAACUGUCAAUAGAGAGGCACCAGGGUGGCUCAGCCGGUUAAACAUCUAACCGCCUCAGGUCACAGUCUCACAAUUCUGUGAGACGCAAUUCUGUGUCUGCCCCUCUCUCUGCCCCUCCCUGGCUUGUGCUCCUGCACUCCAUCUCUCUCUCAAAAGUAAAUUAAUAAACAUUUUUAAAAAAGUAAAUAGAAAAAAUGUAAAUCACGGAUUAUGGUUUACUUCCAAUUAGGCUUGUUUGUUUAUAAAAACAGAAAUGGUCCGGCUGAUGUCAAGAGCAAAUGUGCCCGCUCACACUUGCUGUUUUGAAUAUACCUGAUUAGCAUAACUCUACCUGCAAAGGAACUUCCAGCAUGAACUCAAAGCCUUAGCAACGAAUGCCAGGGCAAUCAAUGCUCGGGGACUUUGAGCUGGUUAAUCGUGUUCAGGGAACUAUCUGGACAGGAAGACCACUGUAGAGACACCAAGAGAAGAGUAUUUGGACACAAAGGCCAGACAGCAUACGACAAUAGAACCCUGACCCCGCAACCUCAGGACUUGUUUGACCUGUUUGACCGUCAGUUUUUUUCUUUCACCCCCAAGUCAAUAACCUCCAGUCAGAACCUUCCUUUUUUCUGCUAUAAAUUUUCCCACGCCUGCCUCCCUGCCAGUCUCAACUAAACAUUAGGUGUGGUGGCAGACGACCUGCUACAGUGGCCUGAGUAGAUGGCCUCCGCAUGUCCUCAUUUGGGUGGUCUUUUUCUCACAACACACGUUUCCUGAGCAGGGGUGUAGGACGGAGCAAAACUGGAAAACACAGGUAGUGCUAAAGCACCGCUCAAGAAAACUGAAAGAUUCCCAGGUAAGCAUUAAAAAUUACGCUGGUUUUAGUGUGAUCAUUACAACGGAGGAAAGCUCCCGUCACGUGAAGUAAAAGAGCGCAGCAGGAAGUGUGAAGUGACAGCACCCGUGUUGUUUAAACACACAAACUCGGAAAGACCGGAAGAGCAGCGGCUCCCUGCGCGCCACCCGCACUGUUAAGCAGCGGCCCGGCCGGCCUUCCAGCACCGCGGCGUCCGGGAGGGUGGCGCUGGCGGAGGCCGCAGCCACAGGUACACUGCGGCCCUCGUUCGGGAAGCUGAAGCCUCAGUCCCCCUCCCACCGGGUAAACGGGACGACACCGCCCACGUCCCCAUAGCCACGCCCCGAUCCCCCGGUCCGGACGUGCAUCACGAGCCUGGUGCCGGGCCACUACAACUCCCAGGGCCCUUCGCGGUGCACACUUCCGGAGCGGCCAUGUUGAAGCUGUGGGUGCGACCCAGGCCCAGAUCGGACGGCCGCCCCUUGGCGAGUUGCUGGGCUCUCGGCCUCCUGCACUCUCGUUCCCUCCCCCGCCCCCCUUCGCGACGGCUGACGCACCCUGGGGCGGCGCCGGCGCAGCUGGAACUUCCAUAUACACCUUCCCGGUCUGCCAGUUUUCACCCUUCGGGCAGGCGCAGGGCGGAGGAUCGCGGUCGCUUCCCCCUAAGGGAGCGAGCGCCCGCAUUCCUUAUCCAUUUUCGGAUCCCCGAUUGUACAUUCCUCCCCGUUUGCGUAGGAUGCUUUUUUUUUUUUCCUCCCCCUCCACAUUUCCGGAUUACAGACCUUGGCUCGUCUAUGGUUUCCUCGGUUUACUGGUUUCACAGAUCUAACCGGUGUUGGAAAUUGCUGGCACGCUCUUCGAGAAGUGAGUCAGCUCGAGGUCAGGAGUCACCAGCGAUGGGUGGGGCCGGGCCCGCUGCCCCGAACUGGCCUUGGGCGCUUGGGGUUGCAAAACACGUCCUGGGCCGCGCUUUUAAUCUCGGCCAUCGCCAGUCACUCCUUUCCUAGGGUUUUUUUUGUUUUGUUUUUUUAGCAUAUUUUUAUUAAAAGACUUUUUAAGUAAUCCCCACCCAAUGUGGGGCUCGAAUUCACCACAAGAUCAAGAGUCCUAGAAUCAAAAUCCUAGUCCAAGGGAUUUUUUUUCCUUGAUAAAAAUAACUACGUUGAUCUCCUAUUUCUGACCUCCUCCCCUAAACAAACUUUUCUAUUAAUUUUAUUUGGGGGCUUGCCUUUCCCAACUCAUUUAUAUUUAUCCUUGUCUUCAGGAUUUAAUUACCUUCCUGUUCCCUAGGAUUUCUGGGGGUUCAUUUUCCCCUCCAGAUUGUUGAUUUAAAAGCAAAAUUCAUUUCCCCACUUCCAGUUAGCGUUCUCAGAGCUUCAAAUUGCCCUGAGAAUAACUCAGGAAGCCAAGGAUGACAAUUUCCCGGAUCCCCAGCAGGGCUGGGCUUGAAAAGUGCCCCAGUUAAGGGAUAUUAGGAAGCAGCGGGGGCGGGUAGCGCUCCCUGGCCGCUCCUUGCUGGGCCACAGGCACCAUUUUGAGUAAUAAUCAUGCAUGACACUUGAAAUCUUCAUUCUCCACAAUGCUUCACAACUUUCUAAUUUCUAAAACUUUCGUUUUUUACUCCUUGGUUAAUCACGCGGAUUAUUUAGUACUUUAUCCCUCAAGAAAAUUAACUGUAGGUUCUUUUCAUUCUACUCCCAUCCACUCUCCAUUUCUAAUUUUAUUUCUCCUUUAGUCUUGAAUCAUGUGUUUUGUUCCUCCUAUCUCUGGGGGACACUAGGGCAAUUUCUCAAAAUCUUGAAUUGAAUGCUCAUUAAAAUGUUAACUCUUAACCAUUUUAAGUUUCAGAGCCUGUCUAGGUGUGGAUAUGGAGAACUCUGCCCAUCCUUGUGGUGCUGGGAUCUCAGUGGAUCUGCAGCCUGGCUCUCCCUGCAGUAGCAGCCAUUCAGGACAACAUAUAUUCCGCAGGGUUAUUGUAAAGCUCCUCCUGGGUGCUAUGUGGUCAAUGAGAUGGGCCACAACCUGCAAGCUGGUGGUUAAGUGUCAUUCUAGUCACUGCAGUCCUCUGGACCAUCCCCCAAGGCCGCUAAGGUAACCCUUCCUGUGCUCUCUGUCAGGAAAGUAUUCACCUCACUUCAGAGAGAAAAUGUACUCUGUGAAGUGAAAAUGUACACAGAGAAAAGUUUACAGCUGGCAGAGUUGAAACUGGAUCUUCAACUCACUGGCACAUAGUUCGGGCUGACUGACCCACUCAUCUGUGUGGGGCUGCACAAAAUAAUCUCUAUCAACUGCAGCUCCAAGUACUGGCUUUCUUUUCUUUUUUAAAAUAUUUAUUUAUUUUGAGAGAGAAAGAGCGAGCUUGAGCAGGGAAGGGUAGAGAGAGGGAGACAAAGAAUCCCAGGCAAGCUCUGAUCCCCCAAUGCGGGGCUGGAACUCACAGAACAGUCAGAUCAUGACCCCAGCUGAAAUUAAGAGUGGGACUCUUAACCAACUGAACCACCCAGGCACUCACCAAGUACUGGUUUUCAAUCCACCACCUGAAUGACCGGUGGUGUGUGUAUGUGUAGAAUUUUAGCAAUUUAGUCCCCUCACUUGCAACUAUCUAUUUAGUGGGUUGUUAUACAAACUCACCCAGCCUCUGGGAAAGGGGCUUAAUCCUUCUGGGCCUUAGUUUCCUCUUUCUAAGUGAUUAGGUUACAUAAAGCCAGGAAUAGCAUGUAGGAAAGGAUGAUGGAGGAUGUUUUUCUUCCUCCUCUUACAGUUCACUUCCCUUUCUGCUUCUUCCCUUCCAGGGUAAGCCAUCUCCCUCAGUGCUUAGAGUUCCACAGUGAACGCUGACUAACCAGCUCUGUUGGGCCCUCCAUGGAGUUGCCUUUGAAGUUUGUUUACCCCCAUGGACUGCUGAGGAUGUCAGCUGGUUCUUGUGCAUCAGAAACCCUAAAGCCAGGCCCAGCGGAAGAUCUCCCAAAGGUGCUGAUGGUCAUCGUAACAUCAAAGUCUUCGAAUAGCAGUGGUUAGUUACAUGAAGACCCCUCAAGACCUGGGCUUUACACACCAUAGUCCCAGUAAGCAAUAGCAUCUAUUCUUAUACUGGGAGAAUGGACUUAUAUGGAAGUCCAUACUGGGAGACUCUAAGAGCCCUGUCCAAAGCCACACUGGGGAACAUAGCAGCUGGGAUCCAAGCCCUGUUCUUUUAUGCCCUUUACACCAAAGGCUAUGCUUCCCAUAGCCACUAUCUUAAUUUUCCUCAUAUGUGCCAGAGUGUGCCAUACCCCUGCCUGUUAGUCUUUCCCAACAUCUUCACCUGAUACCCCUUCCUCAUCCAGCUCUUAGCUUCUGUGUCCUCUCCUCAGAACUGUCUUCCUGAGCAGUUCUCAACUAGUAUUGCCCACCCACGCCUCCUCCCGCUAGCAUAUUCCAUUGUUUCAUUUUUCUUCACAGCACUGACUGCUAUCUCAAAGUAUCUGUUUCGUUAAUUAUCACCUUUCUACCUUUUCUACAGCAGCACUGCCCAAUGGAGCUCUCUUUAAGGAAAUGUUGUAGAUCUACACUGUCCAACAUAGUAGCCAUUAGCUGCAGCUGACCAAUGACCAUCUGAAAGACGGCCGUGACUAAGGAACUAAACUGAAUCUGUCAACAUUCCAGCCUUGUCCUGUCAUUGAACUGCUCGUGUUCCAUCGAAAUGGCCUUUUAACAGGAAGUUGGAAGAUAUUCACUGCCCAGCAUGACAGGUUCAUCUGGACCAACUACGCAAGACUGCAGAGGAUUAACCUGAGCCGAUUAACAGCAACCACUACAGUGAAAGCCCAACAGCACUCAGAAGGCCUGACAUAGCACAGUGAAGCGAGAUCUCUCUUUGUACAUUUGCGCCAAAACUCGACUAGACCAAUUCUGCAUCAAGGAAUUCUAAAUGCAAUCAUCUAACAGGAUUUUCUUAAUGAACCCCUGACAAACUGAUGUCAAGCCCUCAUCUUGCAAACCAGGUGGGUGAGAAUAGUUCAUUGUUUGUUUUGUUUGUUUUUUUUUAGAAAUAAUGAGAGGAACUAUCAUUUAUCCAAGUUAUAAAACUACCAUAUGUACAGCAGUAUGUGUACUCAGACUAAGAUCAAUGAAGCAGAAGGGACCAAGACCGAAGCCUAUGCCCAAUAAGUACCAUGGAAAUUUAGUCUGUAAUAAGGACGGUGUUUCCAAUAAGCAGAAGAAUCUAAUCAAAAUUUGUUGAAAGAACAUAUGCUCCAUACCAUAUACACAAAGAAACUCCAGAUAAGUGCAACAAUCAGACAAAAACAAACAAACAAACAAAAAACCCUGAAAUACAAGAAAGUAUUUAUGAAAUCUGCCUAUCUAUGAAUGGGAUAGGAAUAAGAACAGAUCUGAAAGGAAAAAUACCUAAAUUAUAUAACUUCUUUAUGAAAACUAAAUUUAAAGGUAGAAGAUAAAUGGGGGCGCCUGGGUGGCUCAGUCGGUUAGGCAUCCGACUUCAGCUCAGGUCAUGAUCUCACAGUUCAUGAGUUCAAGCCCCACAUUGAUCUCCGUGCUGACAGCUCAGAGCCUGGAACCUGCUUUGGAUUCUGUGUCUGCCUCUCUCUCUGCCCCUCCUCCGCUUGUGCUCUGUCUCUCAAAAAUAAA